RNAcentral lists this ribosomal RNA (471 nucleotides) under uncultured Glomus. Its description in RNAcentral is "SSU rRNA". It matches the Rfam family "Eukaryotic small subunit ribosomal RNA", at positions 596 to 1071 of the family's 1831-position model. Lineage: Eukaryota; Fungi; Glomeromycota; Glomeromycetes; Glomerales; Glomeraceae. The record is from RNAcentral.
AGCGUAUAUUAAAGUUGUUGCAGUUAAAAAGCUCGUAGUUGAAUUUCGGGGCCAGUAGGUCGGUCGUGCCACUGGUAUGCACUGGUCUCACUGGUCCCUCCCUCUUGAAGAACCGUGAUGCCAUUAAUUUGGUGUUGCGGGGAAACAGGACUGUUACUUUGAAAAAAUUAGAGUGCUUAAAGCAGGCUUACGCUUGAAUACAUUAGCAUGGAAUAACGAAAUAGGACGAUCGAUUCUAUUUUGUUGGUUUCUAGGAUCGACGUAAUGAUUAAUAGGGAUAGUUGGGGGCAUUAGUAUUCAAUUGUCAGAGGUGAAAUUCUUGGAUUUAUUGAAGACUAACUACUGCGAAAGCAUUUGCCAAGGAUGUUUUCAUUAAUCAAGAACGAAAGUUAGGGGAUCGAAGACGAUCAGAUACCGUCGUAGUCUUAACCAUAAACUAUGCCGACUAGGGAUCGGAUGAAGUUAAUUUUU